Molecule: long non-coding RNA, 551 nt
Filed under: Calidris pygmaea (Spoon-billed sandpiper)
Lineage: Eukaryota; Metazoa; Chordata; Aves; Charadriiformes; Scolopacidae
Description: lncRNA (ENSCPGG00000000669.1)
Source: RNAcentral
CAAACGUCCUCACUCAAGAAUGACAGACAUCGAACUGGGGGGAGAGCAGGGCCAGUCAUCUCCUGUCAUCAGGAUGAAUGGUCAACCCCGCAGGAAAGACAACUCACCUGAUGAGACCAUAUUGAUCGCAGAGAGCUGGAGGAUAUAAAAGAGAACUGCCUCACGCUCCCUCACUCACAGGCUCUUAGGAAAUCGGCCAAGGCUUGGAGAAGGAGAGAAAAUGCCUUCCCAGAGGGUGGUCAUUACCCUGGCGCUGCUGUUGGGGUCUUGCUGCAUCAGCGCUUAUCCUGUCCACCUGGAAAGCGACAGUGCCCAUGGAAAUAAAAGCACCCUCCAGGAGGAUGGCCCAGACCGCUCGGUGAGUGGAGGUGCCUCUCUGGCCUCGGGGAGGGUGUCCCAGGGAGACACCACCGGGCAGGGGCUCCCCAUGGCCAGCUCCCCACGAGGUCCCAGUAAACCCCAUCCCUGCCGGCCAGUUAACAGGGACUGAGGCAGUCCCACUCGGGUGCCACACUGCUCCCCUCCCUGGUCCAGCAGUGAGGGGAAGGGGC